RNAcentral lists this ribosomal RNA (253 nucleotides) under uncultured bacterium. RNAcentral describes it as "partial 16S ribosomal RNA". It matches the Rfam family "Bacterial small subunit ribosomal RNA", at positions 524 to 776 of the family's 1533-position model. The record is from RNAcentral.
UACGUAGGUGGCAAGCGUUGUCCGGAAUUACUGGGUGUAAAGGGAGCGCAGGCGGGAAGCCAAGUCAGCUGUGAAAACUACGGGCUUAACUUGUAGACUGCAGUUGAAACUGGUUUUCUUGAGUGAAGUAGAGGUUGGCGGAAUUCCGAGUGUAGCGGUGAAAUGCGUAGAUAUUCGGAGGAACACCGGUGGCGAAGGCGGCCAACUGGGCUUUAACUGACGCUGAGGCUCGAAAGUGUGGGGAGCAAAUAGG